UAGACAGAUAGUAAAUCAAUCUUUUGAAGUCUCCACCAUUCACUAGUUCAACAGAUUAAACAUGCAUGAUUCAAGUCACAAUGCCAGAUAACUGUACUUAACCAACAUGUUUUCCUAUUUGCUCUCAGUAUAAUAAGGUCUCAUUGCUAAACAAAAGGAGAUCAGUUCUCGUACUUCGGGUCUUAGCUUCUUCCAGGUAAAACUACUAGCAGAGAUCUAGAGCUGCUUCGUCUCUGCCUUCCUCUCC
RNAcentral lists this long non-coding RNA (247 nucleotides) under Hordeum vulgare. RNAcentral describes it as "long non-coding RNA (HVUL_LNC000154)". Lineage: Eukaryota; Viridiplantae; Streptophyta; Magnoliopsida; Poales; Poaceae. The record is from RNAcentral.